This 84-nucleotide transfer RNA is filed under the name Minisyncoccota bacterium. Its description in RNAcentral is "tRNA-Leu". It matches the Rfam family "tRNA". Rfam says of the family: Transfer RNA (tRNA) molecules are approximately 80 nucleotides in length. Their secondary structure includes four short double-helical elements and three loops (D, anti-codon, and T loops). Lineage: Bacteria; Bacillati; Minisyncoccota. The record is from RNAcentral.
GUCCAGGUGGCGAAAUUGGUAGACGCGCUACCUUGAGGGGGUAGUGGGAGCAAUCCCGUGGUGGUUCAAAUCCACUCCUGGACA